UACGGAGGAUCCGAGCGUUAUCCGGAUUUAUUGGGUUUAAAGGGUGCGCAGGUUGUUUGAUAAGUCAGUGGUGAAAGUCUGUCGCUUAACGGUAGUAUUGCCAUUGAUACUGUUAGACUUGAAUAUGGAUGAGGUAGGCGGAAUGUGUAGUGUAGCGGUGAAAUGCAUAGAUAUUACACAGAACACCGAUUGCGAAGGCAGCUUACUAAUCCAUCAUUGACGCUGAGGCACGAAAGCGUGGGGAUCAAACAGGAUUA
This 257-nucleotide ribosomal RNA is filed under the name uncultured prokaryote. Its description in RNAcentral is "partial 16S ribosomal RNA". It matches the Rfam family "Bacterial small subunit ribosomal RNA", at positions 524 to 780 of the family's 1533-position model. The record is from RNAcentral.